This 419-nucleotide long non-coding RNA is filed under the name Trifolium pratense (red clover). RNAcentral's name for it is "long non-coding RNA (TPRA_LNC011996)". The record is from RNAcentral. Lineage: Eukaryota; Viridiplantae; Streptophyta; Magnoliopsida; Fabales; Fabaceae.
AACCUUACGACAUUAGGUAUAUGAGUCAAAGUAAUCAAGUAAGUGUUAAUAAUUACAUCAUAUUUAAAUAAAAAUGUAUUUUCAGUAUCUUAUUACUUUGUGCUGACAUUAUUGUCAUUGUGAUUCAUAUGAUUGAUAAUAGUAUAUGUAUGUGUUUUUGAUAAUAUGGCCACAGAAAAGAGAGGAAUGAAUACAAAUGAUGUGUAGACAUGAUUUCCUUGCAGAACCUUCAUAUUUUUAUUUUUGUUUUAUCACAAUUUUGUUAGUUGUUAACUAGUUUGUGUUUAUUAUUACUAGUUACAGAAGCACAAGAUCAAUGCAAUGUAUGCUAAAACUAACGGAAUUUCGACAAGCUACGUUUAGAAGGAGUCAAUUGCAUAAUUUGAGAGGGAGUUUCAUGUUCCCUGCAAUUAGAGGUA